This 468-nucleotide ribosomal RNA is filed under the name uncultured bacterium. RNAcentral's name for it is "partial 16S ribosomal RNA". It matches the Rfam family "Bacterial small subunit ribosomal RNA", at positions 28 to 507 of the family's 1533-position model. The record is from RNAcentral.
GACGAACGCUGGCGGCGUGCUUAACACAUGCGAGUCGAACGGAAAGGCCCUGCUUUUGUGGGGUGCUCGAGUGGCGAACGGGUGAGUAACACGUGAGUAACCUGCCCUUGACUUUGGGAUAACUUCAGGAAACUGGGGCUAAUACCGGAUAGGAGCUCCUGCUGCAUGGUGGGGGUUGGAAAGUUUCGGCGGUUGGGGAUGGACUCGCGGCUUAUCAGCUUGUUGGUGGGGUAGUGGCUUACCAAGGCUUUGACGGGUAGCCGGCCUGAGAGGGUGGCCGGCCACAUUGGGAUUGAGAUACGGCCCAGACUCCUACGGGAGGCAGCAGUGGGGAAUAUUGCACAAUGGGCGGAAGCCUGAUGCAGCAACGCCGCGUGCGGGAUGACGGCCUUCGGGUUGUAAACCGCUUUCGCCUGUGACGAAGCGGGAGUGACGGUAAUGGGUAAAGAAGCACCGGCUAACUACGUG